This 872-nucleotide long non-coding RNA is filed under the name Oncorhynchus kisutch (coho salmon). Its description in RNAcentral is "lncRNA (ENSOKIG00005011366.1)". The record is from RNAcentral. Lineage: Eukaryota; Metazoa; Chordata; Actinopteri; Salmoniformes; Salmonidae.
UCUGGGGGCUCUGUUUAACUAGCUCUCUUCUUCCUGUUGUAUUCUCUCUUGCAGCUCAGAAGGCCUCCUCUGUCUGUUACCUCUGUAACGGAUCAUUUACUGUGGUCACGAGGUGAAAUGGCUGACCCCCCCCAUCUGGAAAAUGCUUGUUGUGUGUUGAGAACCAGAAGGUCUACGCUGUGUGUGACUCAGAGAUCAUCAAGCCAGCCUUUGAGGGCCAAGGCAGCUCCAUGCCUGUCAUCGAAGCCAAUUGUCCUAGAAUUGUUUCAACUGAUCGGACGGAUGAGUGGGGGGGUUAUCUAAAGAAGAAGAGAUCACUAUUGGAAUUUUAGCUGCCACCCUAGCCUUCCUCGCCAUCCUCGUUGCUUGGCGCUACAAUGCCCAGAUUAAGUAAGCAGGCUGUUACAUGUCCCUCUCUCUCGGAUAAUACAGGUUUAACACUCAUGUGUUAUACAGUCACUAUGCCUAGCCACCUAACUUGACUCUCAUCAUUUAACUAUAAUUGUUGCCUUCUGCAUUUUUAAGAGCUGUAUGAGUGAUUUACACAUUAUCAUCAAUGUUCUGUCUUUUGGCCGAUUUAUUUGAGUUGAUUGUCUCUUCAGGUGUCUUCCAGUGGCCUCUCCAGCAGUCAAAUCAGGGGAACCCCAGUGCUAUUCAGAUUAACUGAAGAGUGUGAUACUGUCAACUGAGGAAGAGUUGGACCUGCAGGGAAUAGUGGUGUGCCAAGAUGUGAAUAUCUCCUCCGAUAUAUUUCUAACAAGGCAAAUGUUGUCUAGGUCCUAUUUAACCCCAUGGUGUGUGUUUAUCCUGCAACUGGAGGGGACAGUGUUCUCCUUAAGUUCAGGUGGCCUUCAGCUCUAUCAGCCAGGUUG